GAUGAACGCUGGCGGCGUGCCUAAUACAUGCAAGUCGAGCGAACGGACGAGAAGCUUGCUUCUCUGAUGUUAGCGGCGGACGGGUGAGUAACACGUGGAUAACCUACCUAUAAGACUGGGAUAACUUCGGGAAACCGGAGCUAAUACCGGAUAAUAUUAUGAACCGCAUGGUUCAAAAGUGAAAGACGGUCUUGCUGUCACUUAUAGAUGGAUCCGCGCUGCAUUAGCUAGUUGGUAAGGUAACGGCUUACCAAGGCAACGAUGCAUAGCCGACCUGAGAGGAUGAUCGGCCACACUGGAACUGAGACACGGUCCAGACUCCUACGGGAGGCAGCAGUAGGGAAUCUUCCGCAAUGGGCGAAAGCCUGACGGAGCAACGCCGCGUGAGUGAUGAAGGUCUUCGGAUCGUAAAACUCUGUUAUUAGGAAAGAACAUAUGUGUAAGUAACUGUGCACAUCUUGACGGUACCUAAUCAGAAAGCCACGGCUAACUACGUG
Molecule: ribosomal RNA, 497 nt
Filed under: uncultured bacterium
Lineage: Bacteria
Description: partial 16S ribosomal RNA
Rfam family: Bacterial small subunit ribosomal RNA
Source: RNAcentral